Molecule: long non-coding RNA, 577 nt
Filed under: Scleropages formosus (Asian bonytongue)
Lineage: Eukaryota; Metazoa; Chordata; Actinopteri; Osteoglossiformes; Osteoglossidae
Description: lncRNA (ENSSFOG00015027239.1)
Source: RNAcentral
GGCGCGAGAGGCGGCACGAGAAGCGGGCACGGGAGGGAGGGAUGUCCUUCCAGCACGAGCUCCCGUGAUCGGAGGAUGCGGCGCGAGAGCGGAGAGGGAAAAGAAGCCCGAGACCGCGCACGAGACCUCGGCGCCGCCGCAGCAGCAACAGCAGCAGCAGCAGCGCAGACGACGUCUUCGAACGGAGCUCGAGCCCCGCUGCUGGCGGAACAUCCAGUACAAUGGCAGGAACAGUAGAGGACAAGGUUUUGGCAUUUGAUCAGGAGUAGAAGGAGCCAGACUGGGCCAACCGGGCCCUUCCUGCAUUUGCUCUAUUUAAAUGAAGAGCAGCAGACCGAGAUCAUUGAAGACAUUCAGCGGGAAUUGCUUAAACUAAACAUUCAGCUGGAGGGCAACAACGCCAUCCGGGGGAGCGUGGACUGCGGGAGUGGCAACAGAACAGUCAGUGGGAGCUUCGACAGCAGAGAGGUCAGCAAGACUACAUACCCGAGGAGUACUGUAAACCACAGCAUAGGGAGGUAGCAACCCUCCUUCAGCAGGAGAACCUAGGUCAGCUCUGUGUGUGCCCCUGGUGCAG